Molecule: long non-coding RNA, 1563 nt
Filed under: Centruroides sculpturatus (bark scorpion)
Lineage: Eukaryota; Metazoa; Arthropoda; Arachnida; Scorpiones; Buthidae
Description: uncharacterized LOC111637381, transcript variant X2
Source: RNAcentral
CUUUUACAAUGCAGACGAUGCGAAUCUAAUUUCCGCAAACGCCUCACUUAAAAAAUAUUAUUUUAAUAUUCAACUCUUCAAACUAAGUUUUUUUAGAAGAGUUUACAAUUUCCAUUUAAAUCUAAAUCUAGAUUUUUUUAUAUAAAAAAAAUAAAUAAUAAAAUAGAAGAAUAAAUCACAUUUGUUGCCAACCAACUGGGGAGUUGUUGGCAAGCUACAAAAGCUGGAAGAAUUGGAUGUAGUUUGGAGGAGGAGAAACUAAAGAAAGAAGUGCAUUUGGCUGUUUUCUUACAAAAGAUAAACUGGAGCUUGAUUAACAGAUCAACUGACUCGAAAAGAAAAUAAUCAAAAAUGCAUCGAGGCUAAAAUCAGUAACUAAUUUGACAAUGAUCGAUGAUGAUAUGAAAGUUCGAAAGCGUAAAAUGCAUAGGAUCAGGAUUUUCGUGGCAAGAAACCGGACUCUAAUGACCUUUUUUUUUUUCUUUUCUUUUUACCUUACAGAAAUCACACAAUACCCCGACUAACUUGGCCCAUAUCCAAUACGGAAAUUCUGCGACAUUAACAAAACUAUGAAGGAAAAAGGUCAUUGAAAUUGCUUUUACGAGAUCGUCGAGUUCAAGUUCUACUACACUUUUGCUUUUUGUGUUUUUUUCUUUUCUUCCUUUUCCUAAAUGAAACAAGAUUCUUUACUGAAAUUAAUGACUUUGGUCGUUUCAAGUCCACUUUUCUGAGAAACUAGAAUUGCUCUCUUGAUACUGAUGCGAUGAUUUAGAACUAGAGAAGGUGAAUAAAAGCUUUAUGUGAAUAGAACAUGUUUAAUUCCAUUGGGAAAUUUAGAACCUGCUGUUUUUUUCAAGAAGGUUUUAACUUUUUAUAAAUAUAAAACAUAUUUUCUUUUAUGUUUCCAGUUAAAAAUAAUGAUUAAUUUUAGAUCUAUUCCUAGCAAGAUACAGUCAAACGCCGUUCUAAAUAGAGCCACCCUUAUAAAUCGCAAUGAAUACUUCUAAAAGGAUCCUCCUCAUAAAUAAAGAAUUCUUUCGCAGAGAUUCUCAUCCUCAAGUGUCCAAAUGUCAUAUCUAUAGCUUAGAUAAUGUACGAUUUUGCAUUCUAAAUGGCAUUUCUAUUUGUCCAAAGACCCCAAUACUGCACACCAAUCUUAACGUUUGGGGUUAUUCAAUUUAAUACUACAUUCGAUUUAGUAUCCAUUUUAGAAGCGAACAAACAGAGGCGCUAAAUUGACGUUUGACAAUACUUGUUCAAUAAGAAAGAAGCAUUUUUCUACCAAGAUUUAUGUGGAGACGAAGCUGUUAGUCGCGUCGUGUCGCGUAAGCAUGCGACGUGACUAAUAACUUUCUCUCAUGAUUUAAAAAAUGAAGUAAUAAUUAUUUACUUAUUUAUUUUGUGAGCUGUUCGACCUUAAUACGUUAAUGAAAUCUACUCGGGUCAUUGAGUGUUAUAAAGCCUGGAAAAAAGAGGAAACCCGUACGCACUUGUUUAUCAGGGAAAAUUUUUCAAUUUGAACAGGUACGAAGCGGUGCAAAAUAGAGAAACUGGAACAGGGAA